AGAGCCGAUCCAAGCAUCAGAUGCUCGUCUUUACAACCACAUAAAGUAGUUACAAUUGGCACGCCUCGCGGCUGUCCAGUUCCCACACCCGAAGAAGCACCUGCCCUGCAUCGGACCAGGUUUGCGGAUAACACACCUGCUGCUUUCGACUCCACAGAAGCAGAAGGGGCACCUGUCCCUGUCAAUUGGGUCCCGCAGAGGAUGGAACUGGAACGCAGGCCAUGGUGGCGAUUUCGGCCUAUGGGAGUGGUGGGGCGGAUGAACGGG
RNAcentral lists this unclassified non-coding RNA (267 nucleotides) under Hevea brasiliensis (rubber tree). The record is from RNAcentral. Lineage: Eukaryota; Viridiplantae; Streptophyta; Magnoliopsida; Malpighiales; Euphorbiaceae.